UCACUUCUAAUGCUACAUAAUAAAACAGAACGCCAAUCAAGUGAUAUAAUAUCGAUAGGCAUUUGGUUAAUCUUUUUUGGUUGACUAAUGUACCAUGAUUGAUUAUUUUCUAGGCAGUAGAUUCUGGUGGAAAUGCAGGAAAGGCAGGACUUAGGGCUGGAGACCAAGUAUUGUACACAAGCAGCUUCUUUGGGGAUGAGCUGUGGCCUGCUGAUAAGCUAGGUUUUACCAAAACAGCUAUCCAAGCAAAGCCAGACUCUGUUUAUUUUGUAGUAAACAGGGGAGCAGAGGUAGAUGUAAAAAGACUAACUAAGAGGCCUGCUCCUCCUCGAUUUGGUCGCACCUUGACUGAAGCACAAAA
This is a long non-coding RNA of Zingiber officinale, 361 nucleotides long. RefSeq lists it as uncharacterized. NCBI's taxonomy places the organism in Eukaryota, Viridiplantae, Streptophyta, Magnoliopsida, Zingiberales, Zingiberaceae. The record is from RefSeq and is a predicted model, not a curated record. The transcript is spliced from 2 exons.